Molecule: transfer RNA, 74 nt
Filed under: Bacillota bacterium
Lineage: Bacteria; Bacillati; Bacillota
Description: Firmicutes bacterium (anaerobic digester metagenome) tRNA-Gln
Rfam family: tRNA
About the family: Transfer RNA (tRNA) molecules are approximately 80 nucleotides in length.
Source: RNAcentral
UGGGGGAUCUGCUAAUGGUAGGCGAGGUGACUCUGGAUCACCGGGUCCAGGUUCGAAUCCUGGUCCCCCAGCCA